This 529-nucleotide ribosomal RNA is filed under the name uncultured bacterium. RNAcentral describes it as "bacterial SSU rRNA". It matches the Rfam family "Bacterial small subunit ribosomal RNA", at positions 777 to 1304 of the family's 1533-position model. The record is from RNAcentral.
AAUAGAUCCCGGGUAGUCCACGCCGUAAACGAUGAGUGCUAAGUGUUAGAGGGUUUCCGCCCUUUAGUGCUGCAGCUAACGCAUUAAGCACUCCGCCUGGGGAGUACGGUCGCAAGACUGAAACUCAAAGGAAUUGACGGGGGCCCGCACAAGCGGUGGAGCAUGUGGUUUAAUUCGAAGCAACGCGAAGAACCUUACCAGGUCUUGACAUCCUCUGACAACUCUAGAGAUAGAGUGUUCCCCUUCGGGGGACAGAGUGACAGGUGGUGCAUGGUUGUCGUCAGCUCGUGUCGUGAGAUGUUGGGUUAAGUCCCGCAACGAGCGCAACCCUUGAUCUUAGUUGCCAGCAUUUAGUUGGGCACUCUAAGGUGACUGCCGGUGACAAACCGGAGGAAGGUGGGGAUGACGUCAAAUCAUCAUGCCCCUUAUGACCUGGGCUACACACGUGCUACAAUGGAUGGUACAAAGGGCUGCAAGACCGCGAGGUCAAGCCAAUCCCAUAAAACCCAUUCUCAGUUCGGAUUGUAGG